UUAAUCAUAUUAAUCUGUGACUAUUGCAUUAACAGCAUGUCAUCCUUACCCUUUCCGCUCUUUCAGAGAGGACACAGAGAGGCAGAUGACUGGAGAAAUGUGUGCUAAGGUGAAGCUGGCACAAAAGCAGCUUGCCCUCUGUCACUUCAGGCUGCUGCUGGGGCUAGAUCUGCCUCAACAGCACCAUAUGGCUUUUGACAGGAAGUCAAACCGGCGCCCGGCCCCGAACAAAAUCAUAACCCAGCAUUCCCCUCGGAUGGCAUCUCUGCUGCCUACUCCACAAGAAGAGGUCCAUCACCUGUUGGGGAAAUUCAGACAGCUUAAAAUGUCUUCAACUUAACACUUUGAUUUCAGAGGCUCUGACGGAGUUGCUUAUUGAGGAGCUAAAGUCACCUGGUUUUGAAAUUCUUGGGAAGCCUUUGAGCCAAUUCAGGAAGAGGACAACAAAACUACCUUUUGGUUUUUUGUGUGUUUUACAACAUGCAAAUUUCUUUCAACUAUUAUUUAUUGCCCUGGUUAUUGUCCACUGUGUUUUGCAUGAUGGUUACCGGCUACAAUCAUAUUUAAUUUUGAAAAAUAACAAUACAUGUCACUAGGUGGCACUUUCGAUGUUGUUAUUCAGUUCAGUCCUCAUGGAAAUGAUUCAAGACGAAAAAAAGAAAACAUGGAAUAAACUAAGAAAGCUAAGUAUGCAAAUGUGGGUAAAUAAAAUGUAUCACAUUACUUUUGUAUCAAAUAUUAGACAAAUGGCUUAUUAAUUUUAUAG
Carassius auratus (goldfish) is the source of this 766-nucleotide long non-coding RNA. RefSeq lists it as uncharacterized. The transcript is spliced from 3 exons. Lineage: Eukaryota; Metazoa; Chordata; Actinopteri; Cypriniformes; Cyprinidae. The record is from RefSeq and is a predicted model, not a curated record.